AUGGCGGUGGUGUAAGGCGUAGCAUCACUGCCUGGAAAGCAGAAGGUGCGGGUUCGAGUCCUGCCUGGCGCA
This is a non-coding RNA of Heligmosomoides polygyrus, 72 nucleotides long. The record is from Rfam. NCBI's taxonomy places the organism in Eukaryota, Metazoa, Nematoda, Chromadorea, Rhabditida, Heligmosomidae.